This 253-nucleotide ribosomal RNA is filed under the name uncultured bacterium. RNAcentral describes it as "partial 16S ribosomal RNA". It matches the Rfam family "Bacterial small subunit ribosomal RNA", at positions 524 to 776 of the family's 1533-position model. The record is from RNAcentral.
GACAGAGGGUGCAAACGUUGUUCGGAAUUACUGGGCGUAACGCGCGUGUAGGCUGCUUCGCAAGUCGGCUGUGAAAGCCCUGGGCUCAACCCAGGAAGUGCAUUCGAAACUGCAGAGCUGGAGUCCUGGAGAGGAAGGCGGAAUUCUCGGUGUAGAGGUGAAAUUCGUAGAUAUCGAGAGGAACACCGGUGGCGAAGGCGGCCUUCUGGACAGUGACUGACGCUGAGACGCGAAAGCGUGGGGAGCAAACAGG